ACCGAUGAUGGCGACUAUCAGGUCAAACUACGCAACCUGAUUCGCUUUCUGGAAGAGGGCGAUAAAGCCAAAAUUACGCUGCGUUUCCGCGGUCGUGAGAUGGCGCACCAGCAGAUCGGUAUGGAAGUGCUUAACCGCGUCCGUAAAGAUCUGUGUGAAGACAUGGAUCUGGCGAUUGUCGAAUCCUUCCCUUCGAAGAUCGAAGGUCGUCAGAUGAUCAUGGUGCUCGCUCCUAAGAAGAAACAGUAGGCCUUCAAGUAAUAAAGCCGCGCAGCGCUUGCGUUGUGCGGAUUUUUAUUCGCCUGUCUGAUUCAUUUUAUUAACAAUGCGAAGUGGAUAUUUGUAAAAAUGCCAA
Molecule: unclassified non-coding RNA, 355 nt
Filed under: Candidatus Pantoea symbiotica
Lineage: Bacteria; Pseudomonadati; Pseudomonadota; Gammaproteobacteria; Enterobacterales; Erwiniaceae
Also listed under: 1 other name
Description: Pantoea sp. YR512 Long range pseudoknot
Source: RNAcentral